Molecule: small RNA, 6568 nt
Filed under: Pongo abelii (Sumatran orangutan)
Lineage: Eukaryota; Metazoa; Chordata; Mammalia; Primates; Hominidae
Description: processed transcript
Source: RNAcentral
AGAGAGAGGCGGAAGACGGAGAAGGAGGGAGUCGAAGGCUUUCCCGAUCACAAAUCUCACCUCCACUACAACUCUCUUUAUACUUUUCUUGCAGAAAUAAUAAUAGAAAUAAGGAGGUGGUGGGGUUUCCAAAAAUCUUAACCUUCAACCAUCUGGGGAAAAGGCAAAAAUCUCAUCUACCGCAACUCUCAGUUCGAAAGUAAAGGUUUCCCAACAGUGAUGUCACAAGAUUGACCGCAUUGAUCACAAUAUGGAGUCUGGAGAACGGUUACCAUCCUCAGCAGCCUCCUCUACUACACCAACUUCAUCUUCGACACCUUCUGUGGCUUCAGUAGUUUCAAAAGGUGGCCUUUCCACUGGAGUUGCUUCACUUAGCUCUACAAUCAACCCAUGUGAUCCAACAAAAAUUAUCACAAAAGAGGAACUGUCCUUAUCUUUUAAGAAUAGUCAUUUGCCUGAGUAUUGGUGCAUCAUUUCUUGAACAAAGCUUGUUCGGCAUGUUUGGUGUUAUUAAAUGGCAGCUUUUCUUCCCAAAGCUACCGCGGCUCCCAGUGACUUGUUUUCUAAUAAAAAUGCCAUUUGAAGAGAAAAUGGUAGUUUUACAGUGGCGAGUCCUGGCAGAUACCAGCUUAACCAAGUGAUCAAAGUUAAUGUCACCAGCACUACGUAGCAACAUUAUGGGCCCUAGAUAGAUUUCUCUGAGAAGGGCACAUUGACCAUCUUUUCUAAUAAUGCAUCACCUCUUCUAUCAUGAGAACGCAUCAGACAAACUCAACCAGAGGGACAUUUUACAAAAUACCUCUGACCAGUACACUUCAGUGUAUUAAAGUCAUAACAAACAAGACUGAGGAAAUAACACGACUGUACAAAAUUAGGGAGACACAACACCUAAAUGUAAUAUGAGAUCCUGGAUUGGAUCUUGGGACAGAGAAGUGACAUUUGUGGGAAAACUAAUUAAAUCUGAAUAAAUUCUUUAUUUUAAUUAGUUAAUCAAGGUUAAUUUCUUAGUUUGGAAAGUUGUUCUUUAGUCAUGUAAGAUGAUAACAUGAGGAGAAGUAAGGUUGGGUAGAGAGUAUAUAGGAACUCUGUGUACUAUUUUUGCAACUCUUGUGAGUCAAAAUAAUCUCAAAAUAACUACUUAAAAAUAAAAAUAGGCUGGGCGCGGUGGCUCACACUUGUAAUUCCAGCACUUUGUGAGGCUGAGGUGGGCAGAUCACAAGGUCAGGAGUUCGAGACUGAACUGGCCACCAUGGUGAAACCCUAUCUCUACUAAAAAUACAAAAAUUAGCUGGGCAUGGUGGUGGGUGCCUGUAAUCCCAACUACUCGGGAGGCUGAGGCAGGAGAAUUGUUUGAAAUUGGGAGGUGGAGGUUGCAGUGAGCCGAGAUUGCACCAUUACACUCCAGCCUGGGCAACAGGGCAAGACUCUGUCUCAAAAAAAAAAAAUAAAAAUAAUAAAACCCAAUCUGAAUAGACGUUUCUCAAAAAACACAUAAGUGGCCAGCAGAUAUAUGAAAAAAUACUCAACAUCACUAAUCAUUAGGGAGAUGCAACUUAAAAUCACAGUGAGAUAUCAUCUCACACCGGUCAGAUUGGCUUUUAUCAAAUAGACAAAAGACAAGUAUUGGCAAGGAUGUGGGGAAAAGGGAACACUUGUACACUGUUGAUGGGGAUGUAAAUUAGUACAGCCUUUAUAGAAAAUAGUAUGGAGGUUCCUCAAAAAACUAAAAAUAGAAUUACCAUAUAAUCCAGCCAUCCUGUUUGUGGGAUUUACCCAAAGGACUUGUAAACAGUUUGUCUAAGAGAUGUCUGCACUCCCAUGUUCAUUGCAGAACCAUUAACAAUAGACACAUUAAGGAAUCGUCUUUUUUAAGUGUCAAAAUAUAAAUGUUGAGAACAGCCCAAGAUGGCCAACUUCAAUGAUUGUGUGUUGGAUGAGGAGAAGGUAUGCAUAGCUGCUAAAUUCAUCACUCAUGCACCCCCAGGAGAAUUUAAUGAAGUAUUCAGUGAUAUUCGGCUACUAUGUAAUAAUGACAGUCUCCUCAGGGAAAGGGAAGCACAUGCAUUUGCUCAUUUUAACAUGGAUCAGUUCACACCCGUGAAGAUGGAAGGAUAUGAAGAUCAGGUCUUAAUUACAGAGCAUGGGAGACCUGGGUAAUAGCAGAGUUUUAGAUCCAAGAAACAAAAUUUCCUUUAUAUUUGAUCACUUAUAGAAAAAAGCAAGUGACCCCCAGCCAGAACAAGUAGAUGGAGGUCGGAAGUCUUGGAGAGAAUCCUGUGACAGUGCUUUAAGAGCCUAUGUGAAAGACCGUUAUUCCAACGGCUUCUGUACUGUUUAUGCUAAAACUAUCGAUGGGCAACAGACUAUUAUUGCAUGUAUUGAAAGCCAUGAGUGUCAGCCUAAAAACUUCUGGAAUGGUCUUUGGAGAUCAGAGUGGAAGUUUACCAUCACACCACCUACAGCCCAGGUGGUUGGAGUCUUAAGAUUCAGGCUCACUAUUAUGAAGAUGGCAGUGUUCAGUUGGUUAGUCGUAAGGAUGUACAGGAUUCACUAACUGUUUCGAAUGACGCACAAACUGCCAAGGAGUUUAUUAAAAUCAUAGAGAAUGCAGAAAAUGAAUAUCAGACAGCAAUUAGUGAAAACUGUCAAACAAUGUCAGAUACCACAUUCAAGGUCUUGAGCCGGCAGCUUCCGGUUACCCGCACCAAAAUUGACUGGAACAAGAUUACUCAGCUACAACGUUGGCAAAGAAAUGCAGAAUGCCUAAAGGCUGAAUGUAGGAUUCUUCAGUAUGUGGAAAGACAAGGAUUCGACGUGUGGUCAUAUGAUAAAUAAGUGAUUUAUAAACAAGAGUGAUAUUUUGCUAGAGCUUUCAAAGUUAACCAGUUUUCUAACCUCAUGGAAUACUGUUGAACCUAUAGCAUUGUCUGAUUCUUUUGUGUUCUCUGCUUUGUAAUUUUCUGUUAUUUCUAUAUCCAAGUGUAAGUCUUUUUUUUUUUUAAUUCUGCCACAUUUAAUGUUGGAGAGAGAGAUCUAUCCUAGAGACAUUUUACUGUUUAAAAAAGUUUCCUAGCCAUGAAGACCUGCUACUGAUUUAGACAAGGUAUUAUGGUCAUUACUUUCUACCCCAUCCUUCCAAGCACUUCUGAUACUGCAGUGGUUUUUACUGAUCCACCAGCACCUGAAGAGACUGUACUACAGUCUAUAGCUAAGUGGAAGACACAUUCAUCCUUCUCCCUGUGACUGCUUUGAUCAUCAUUUAUUGCAUCUCAGAACUGUAAUUUUCCAAAGUUUGGAUUGGGACUUUUCAGGUCCUUUUUGGAGGGCAAAGGAAGUGUCAGCUUCUCUGGGGAACUUGUUUUUAAAUCCAAAGACUUGAACCACAUUCCCUGCACUUGAACAUGUUUGCUUUCAUCCCCUUCUCUCAUUGUCUCCUUCCCAUCUUAGUACCAUUGUAGUUACAGACAUCUGCAUUUUUAGAAGAGUUUUACCCAUUUAUUUUUUUAAACAGUCAAGAACUGCUGACAUACUGUGGAUAUAGAAUAUAAAACUUGAAAAAUGCAGAUGUUGAAGGAAUAAUAGGUGUCUUGUGCUUUAAUACUUUAUGGCAGGAUUGUACUAUAAGCAAAUGAAUUAAACAGCUAUGUAAAUCAUAAACAAAAACUAAAAAUGAACCAAAAUGAAAAGGAUAACUUCCAGGCAGUAUCUUUCUAUUGUAACCUGUUAUUUAAGGAAAUACUAAUGAUUUCUUCUAAAUAGGAUGUAAAACUUAUUUCAGAUUACUCUUCCUCAGUCCUGCCUGCCAAGAACUCAAGUGUAACUGUGAUAAAAUAACCUGUCCCAGGUAUAUUGGCAAGUAUGUGUGUAAUCUCAGAAUACACAGGUGACAUAGAUAUAAUAUAACAACUGGUAAUGGUGGAUUCAUUUACAUUGCUUACAGUACUAUGACCAGGCCUUAAGGGAAGGUAAGUUUUAAAAAAACACAAGUAGUGAAGCAUUUUUAGAAUACAAGAGUUAAAUGAGAAUUACUUGGAGAGAAAUGUUUUGUCAUCAGUAACUGUAGACUUCUUUCUGUUCUUAAUCAAGGUUCAAGUUUACAGAAUUUGGACAUUUUGAGUUCAGAAAUAUUUAAACAUUAAUAUACUUAAGAAUUUUAAUAUGUGAGCCAGUAAUUUGAGUAUUGCUUUGAUUUACAGUAAUUUUGAUGUUCAUUUUGCUAUUAUACUCAGUUAUUACUGGUAUUAAUUAAAGUCCUCAUAACAACUUUAUUUGAAUAUACUACCAUUUUUAAUGAAUAGCCAUACUUUGCAAGAUGUACAUUAGAGCCUGGUUUUGUAAUGUUGCAAAUUUAUGCUUACCAUUUUAAACAACUAGAGACAAAAUUUGAAGACAUGAUGUAACAAUUUUGUGUAGCAUUGAAAGAUUAAAAGGCACUUUUAGCACACAGAAAAACGUGAAGUUAUGUCAUGGUAAGCAAUUUUCUUGACUUUUAAAAAGAUUGAGUGCUUUAACAUACUUAGUUCUUACAAUUAUUUUAUUUGCUUUCUGGACUUUUCGUUAGUGAUGGGAGAUUUUGUUCACUGGUAGUUUAGAGUCAAGGCAUUAGUUCAGUACAAUUUCAUUCUUAUAGGGGGAAGACCUUGUUGAAUUACUCAUUAAUAUUAAUAAAGGCAUUUGUAGUUACCAUGCCUUGUUACUGACACACACCAGCAUUUGUGUACUGAUUUUAAUCACUUUUAUAUGUAGUGAUUUGAUUUGGCUAGUAGAAUUUUAAAAGCUUUGCUGAAAAGUAUUCAGUUCAUUGUAAUUUGAGAACAUAAGCAUUGCAGAUGUAUAUUAAUUUUUAUUAUGUAAAAUGUAUACAGUUACCUAUCUUAAAAUAGAAACUAAAAUAAUAUUUACAUUAAUAAUAUUGAAACUAUGUUUGAAUGUUAAUAUCUGCAAAAAAUUGUGGUCUUCUAAAAAUAUUGUUUUAUGGUAUAAUUCAUCAGCUUGCAAAUGUUUUCUCUGAGCAGAACUCAAAGGUUUUCAUCAAGACAGGUUUUAUUUGUGAGCAAUACAUCCGUUGAUAUUAAGUAUAUUAAUGUAAGAAACAUUUGCUUUUCUAAAAGUGAAACAUUCUACUAUCCAGAUAAUUUUGUUUUGUACUCAUAAGGUUAAUAGAGCCUAUUUGACUUGAGUUGUAUUUCAUUUUGUGAAAGUAUCUUUCUGCUUUUUUAUUAAUACUGAAUAUGCUUUGUUUUAAAUGUAAUUAUAGGAUUGACUGAGCCAUCAUCAGUCUAUGAUCAAAAUUUUCCUAGUGACCAGUAGUUUAAAAUGUUAAGAUAGUUGAAGACUAAAGGCAAUAGAGCCAAGGGUGUAAACAAAACAGCAAUCCCUGCUGUAUAAAAAGAUUAAAGCCACAAAAGUGACAUCAUUCUAAAUACCUAGUGAGCUUUUACUAACCUUGUGAGUGACUUUUGCAAUUGGAGCAAAGUGACAUGUUAUAUUUUAAUCAUUUAAAGAAUAAUUUCCGGUUAUUCUAGCCUUUUAAAAAAAGAGUGAAACAAAGAAUUGAAAACUACUGUUUUGGAGAUGCCUAUAGCAGGUAUUAUGAAGUGUUGCCUCUGCCAACUGAUAAGAGUUUGCUUUGUGCAAUGUUUUGUAAAGGGUAAAAAUGGUUAAGAAAUGGCUGUUUCCUUCAUAACUUUUAUACCCUAGUAAUGGUAUGAUAAAGGACCAAUUGCCAAUAAUCUAUCAUGAACAAUGAAAGGAGGCCCCAAAUAUAACUGUCUGGAGAUUCAGGAAUACUUGAGCAAUAGGUUUUUGAAAUAGUUAGUAAAGAAUAUAAUUAUAAAGGGUAGAAAUCAAAGAGUAUGUUAUAUAGGCUUUGGAGGUUCUCAAGUGGAAGAAAUAAUAUGACCAAAAAUACAGCAGUGAGAAACAAUUUAUUAAAUUCUUACGGUGUUUCAGAUUAUUGGAAAUCCUGAGCUAAAUAAGAUUCCGUUUUUGCCUCAAAGAUCUAAAAUCCUGGCUUAUAAUUCAUUUGCAUAGAGGUGAUAGUUUAAACAGUAUAAGCAUGUGAAAUACUGAAGGAGAAAGCAUAAGAGAAGGAAAGAGAUAGCUGGAUAAAAUCUUUAGGAAUGUUUUACAUUUAGGGGGAGAAAAGCAAAAGAAAAUCCAAUAAAGGAGAUAGUAUUAUUGAAAGACAUAUAGUUAAGAAGAGGAUCAAGAGGGUUCCACGACCUAGAUCUUAAGGAUGAUAAUGGGUUUUGAAAAGAAAGGACCAGGCCAGGCACGGUGGCUCACGCCUGUAAUCCCAGCACUUUGGGAGGCUGAGGCGGGCAGAUCAUGAAGUCAGGAGAUCGAGACCAUCCUGGCUAACACGGUGAAACCCCGUCUCUACUAAAAAUACAAAAAAUUAGCUGGGCAUGGUGGUGGGUGCCUGUAGUCCCAGCCACUUGGGAGGCUGAGGCAGGAGAAUGGCAUGAACCCGGGAGGCGGAGGUUGCAGUGAGCCGAGAUCGCACCAGUGCACUCCAGCCUGAGCAAUAGAGCGAGACUCCGUCUCAAAAAAAAAAAAGAAAGAA